UGGGGAAUAUUGCGCAAUGGGGGAAACCCUGACGCAGCGACGCCGUGUGAGGGAAGAAGGCUUUCGGGUCGUAAACCUCUGUCAGGAAGGAAGAACCUCUCAAGGCUGAACAAGCCUUGGGACUGACGGUACUUCCAGAGGAAGCACCGGCUAACUCCGUGCCAGCAGCCGCGGUAAUACGGAGGGUGCAAGCGUUAAUCGGAAUCACUGGGCGUAAAGCGCGCGUAGGCCGUCUUUUAAGUCGGACGUGAAAGCCCUCGGCUCAACCGGGGAACGGGGUGCGAGACUGGGAGACUUGAGUCCUGGAGAGGGUGGCGGAAUUCCGGGUGUAGGAGUGAAAGCCGUAGAUAUCCGGAGGAACACCGGUGGCGAAGGCGGCCACCUGGACAGGUACUGACGCUGAGGCGCGAAAGCGUGGGGAGCA
This 424-nucleotide ribosomal RNA is filed under the name uncultured bacterium. Its description in RNAcentral is "bacterial SSU rRNA". It matches the Rfam family "Bacterial small subunit ribosomal RNA", at positions 355 to 770 of the family's 1533-position model. The record is from RNAcentral.